GGCGGCGUAACUCAGUUGGUAGAGUAGCCGGUUCAUACCCGGUAUGUCACCUGUUCGAAUCAGGUCGCCGCUACCA
Molecule: transfer RNA, 76 nt
Filed under: Oscillospiraceae bacterium
Lineage: Bacteria; Bacillati; Bacillota; Clostridia; Eubacteriales; Oscillospiraceae
Description: tRNA-Met
Rfam family: tRNA
About the family: Transfer RNA (tRNA) molecules are approximately 80 nucleotides in length. Their secondary structure includes four short double-helical elements and three loops (D, anti-codon, and T loops).
Source: RNAcentral